RNAcentral lists this ribosomal RNA (486 nucleotides) under Triticum aestivum (bread wheat). Its description in RNAcentral is "partial small subunit ribosomal RNA". The record is from RNAcentral. Lineage: Eukaryota; Viridiplantae; Streptophyta; Magnoliopsida; Poales; Poaceae.
AUGAGCAGCUCCACACCCAACACAGAUAAACACAAAAAGCAGACCAUCUCCCUUUCUUCUCCAAGAAAGAUCUCUCCUUGCUCAGGCCUCAGCUCACUGCAAGUUCCCUACAUCGAUCCUCUCCCCGUCGUCGGUCGCGAAACAACUAAUGGCUUCUUCUUCUUCCAGCGCCCGAGGCAGCCGCGUGGCCACAUGCCUCGUGCUGGUUCUCCUGCUCGUCAGCAUGCGAGAAGCCUCAGCCGCGCGGCCGCUCCGGCCGGCCGGCGACGUGUCCAGCGAGGUGAAGGACCAGGCGGUCCUCGACAAGUACGCGCCGCUUCUGCUCGCCAUGCUGCCGAGGGCCCCGACUCCGCCUUCCGCCCCGAGCGGUGGCACGAACGAGGCCAGGAACUGAUGAAGCACCCGCAAGGUUUUCCACUAGAAUGGAUGAUCGAUCUCUACAAGAGAAAUCGUUAUGCUGAGUGGUUGAUGGUUUGCUCUGUUUAG